RNAcentral lists this ribosomal RNA (522 nucleotides) under uncultured bacterium. RNAcentral describes it as "bacterial SSU rRNA". It matches the Rfam family "Bacterial small subunit ribosomal RNA", at positions 777 to 1297 of the family's 1533-position model. The record is from RNAcentral.
AAUAGAUACCCGGGUAGUCCACGCCGUAAACGAUGAGUGCUAAGUGUUAGAGGGUUUCCGCCCUUUAGUGCUGCAGCUAACGCAUUAAGCACUCCGCCUGGGGAGUACGGUCGCAAGACUGAAACUCAAAGGAAUUGGCGGGGGCCCGCACAAGCGGUGGAGCAUGUGGUUUAAUUCGAAGCAACGCGAAGAACCUUACCAGGUCUUGACAUCCUCUGACAACUCUAGAGAUAGAGCGUUCCCCUUCGGGGGACAGAGUGACAGGUGGUGCAUGGUUGUCGUCAGCUCGUGUCGUGAGAUGUUGGGUUAAGUCCCGCAACGAGCGCAACCCUUGAUCUUAGUUGCCAGCAUUUAGUUGGGCACUCUAAGGUGACUGCCGGUGACAAACCGGAGGAAGGUGGGGAUGACGUCAAAUCAUCAUGCCCCUUAUGACCUGGGCUACACACGUGCUACAAUGGAUGGUACAAAGGGCUGCAAGACCGCGAGGUCAAGCCAAUCCCAUAAAACCAUUCUCAGUUCGGA